This 592-nucleotide long non-coding RNA is filed under the name Bos taurus (domestic cattle). Its description in RNAcentral is "long non-coding RNA NONBTAT000748". Lineage: Eukaryota; Metazoa; Chordata; Mammalia; Artiodactyla; Bovidae. The record is from RNAcentral.
UAAACAAUGUUAGUUAUAAUCUUGGGCUUCAAAAAUCAAUGUGAUUGUCCUUUGUUUUCUUUCCCUAAGUGAUCUGCUGGUAUUUAGUUUCAGAUCCCUUAUUAUUCCAUUAAUCAUUAUUAGCUCAUUAGUUUAAAAGUUUGAUUUAAAAUAGUCUCAAAAUAAGAGUAUCAGUACUGUGAGGAAUUUAUACAGUGCAGUUUCAUGUUAGAACUAGACUAAAGGUAAUUGUGUAGUUAUUUGUAAUUUUUCAUGGUAACAGUUAACAUGUUUAAGAUUUCUAAUGUUUUAAAAAAUUACCUUUGGUACAAUUCUUAGAAAUUCAGAGAUUUCCAGGGAUUCACUACAUACAGUGUUUGCCUAAUUUAUACUGGUCUUCGUUAUGUAUUUUAAUCAACUUUAGUGUUUACUUUGUAAAACAUAUAUAUUUGAUUUGAAAUAUUACUUUGAUUCUUCAUGAGUGCAUUUUGACAAAACAUAUACUUUUACAGUCUGGACAACUUAAAUUUGUGUUAAGCAGUGGAAAGAGCACUGACUAGUAAUUAUUACUCUUUGAAAUCUGAGCGCCUCACAAAUAAAACAAGUUGGAUGA